CAGUCGCCGCGGGAAUACGAAGGGUGCAAGCGUUAAUCGGAAUUACCGGGCGUAAAGCGUGCGUAGGCGGUGAGUUAAGUCUGCUGUGAAAUCCCCGGGCUCAACCUGGGAAUGGCAGUGGAUACUGGGUCACUAGAGCGUGGUAGAGGAUAGUGGAAUUUCCGGUGUAGCAGUGAAAUGCGUAGAGAUCGGAAGGAACAUCUGUGGCGAAGGCGACUAUCUGGGCCAUCACUGACACUGAGGCACGAAAGCGUGGGGAGCAAACAGGAGUAGAUACCCCAGUAGUCCCUGUCUCUUAUAC
RNAcentral lists this ribosomal RNA (301 nucleotides) under uncultured bacterium. RNAcentral's name for it is "partial 16S ribosomal RNA". It matches the Rfam family "Bacterial small subunit ribosomal RNA", at positions 509 to 807 of the family's 1533-position model. The record is from RNAcentral.